AAUAGAUACCCGGGUAGUCCACGCCGUAAACGAUGAGUGCUAAGUGUUAGAGGGUUUCCGCCCUUUAGUGCUGCAGCUAACGCAUUAAGCACUCCGCCUGGGGAGUACGGCCGCAAGGCUGAAACUCAAAGGAAUUGACGGGGGCCCGCACAAGCGGUGGAGCAUGUGGUUUAAUUCGAAGCAACGCGAAGAACCUUACCAGGUCUUGACAUCCUCUGACAACCCUAGAGAUAGGGCGUUCCCCUUCGGGGGACAGAGUGACAGGUGGUGCAUGGUUGUCGUCAGCUCGUGUCGUGAGAUGUUGGGUUAAGUCCCGCAACGAGCGCAACCCUUGAUCUUAGUUGCCAGCAUUCAGUUGGGCACUCUAAGGUGACUGCCGGUGACAAACCAGAGGAAGGUGGGGAUGACGUCAAAUCAUCAUGCCCCUUAUGACCUGGGCUACACACGUGCCACAAUGGAUGGUACAAAGGGCAGCAAAGCCGCGAGGCCGAGCAAAUCCCAUAAAGCCAUUCUCAGUUCGGAUUGCGA
RNAcentral lists this ribosomal RNA (528 nucleotides) under uncultured bacterium. RNAcentral's name for it is "bacterial SSU rRNA". It matches the Rfam family "Bacterial small subunit ribosomal RNA", at positions 777 to 1303 of the family's 1533-position model. The record is from RNAcentral.